This 253-nucleotide ribosomal RNA is filed under the name uncultured bacterium. Its description in RNAcentral is "partial 16S ribosomal RNA". It matches the Rfam family "Bacterial small subunit ribosomal RNA", at positions 524 to 776 of the family's 1533-position model. The record is from RNAcentral.
UACGUAGGGUGCAAGCGUUAAUCGGAAUUACUGGGCGUAAAGCGUGCGCAGGCGGCUUUGCAAGUCAGAUGUGAAAUCCCCGGGCUCAACCCCGGAACGGCAUCCGAUACUGUGUGGCUUGAGACCGGGAGAGGAGGGUGGAAUACCGAGUGUAGAGGUGAAAUUCGUAGAUAUUCGGAAGAACACCAGUGGCGAAGGCGGCUCACUGGACCGGUAUUGACGCUGAGGUGCGAAAGCGUGGGGAGCAAACAGG